This is a non-coding RNA of Taeniopygia guttata (zebra finch), 2121 nucleotides long. Lineage: Eukaryota; Metazoa; Chordata; Aves; Passeriformes; Estrildidae. The record is from RefSeq and is a predicted model, not a curated record.
AGCAUGCAGCCCUCCGCAGACAGAGAAAGUCUCCUCCCUUCCUUUUUGAUUCAACACCUUCUCUUUCAGAGCCUUCCCUUUCACCAUCCAGUUCCCUGGACUCACUCUUCCCUUUUGAUUUAAACCUCCCCUCCCUAGAAUGCUGAUCAAUGUUCCAGUUGUUUUUCAGAUGUAAGCUUCAUCCCUCUUGCAAGUGACUGGCUGAGGUCGCUUUGAAGGAUGAAGUCUCACAGGUUCCAUCCAAUCAAUUUCAGAAACGGGACUUAUGUUGCUGUUAACACUCACUGUUCUUAUUAUAAGUUUUAGUAAUGUUAAAAGGUUUAAAGGCCAUCAAUUCAACCGUGCACAUUGGCCACGUAGUCUUCGCCACCCCAUCAGAGCUGACACCGGUCGACAUAAACAGCCCGAAAAGAACCAAGCAGAAUACCCAGAGGACAUCGGGUUCAACGAUGGGGAACAGGACUGUAAAACCCCCCAUUUAAGUUAUUUUCCGUUCUUUUCUUUUGAAAAACAGAAGAGGGAGUUUUGGAAUUGUGUUAUUAUAUGUUUUAUUAUGUAUAAGUUCGUUCCAUGUACCCCCCCCAUGCUCUGUAGCGAUCCCCCGGGUUUUCCCAUCUCCCCCCACAGUUUGCCUUCCCGGGAAAGUGCCAAGUCACUGUGUUUACAUCUCUCAGACCAUCUGUCAGUCACACGGCAAGGUCGGGAGACGCCCUGGGACCCUCCACCUGUCCAUCCCCCAUUGGAUGUACCCCUGCACCCCACUGUCCUCAGACCCCCCGUGGCGUUAUCCUAUUGGCCGCCCCGGGUUUCCCCUGUUCAGUACUUAGCCCGCGGGCUGGGGACGCCCCGGGCUUUUUUCCCGCCCGGCCCCUGAGUGCUGCCGCCGCCGCCGCCGCCCCGGGCGAUCGCGGCCGCAGCCGCUCCGAUCCGCCGCCGCCGCUGCCGUGGCACUUCUGGCUCGCGGCCAGUUUUCGGAGCGCGCCGCCCUGCCCCAAACCGGCAAGGCGGCACGAACAAACUUCAGCGCGGCACGCCGCAGCUUUUUCGGUUUUUGCUUUCCCAACCAAGCCGCAAUAAACCGGAACUCUGCCACCGGGGGAAAAGUCUCUCUCCUUUCAUUCGCCGCGGGACUCACCUUUUUGCUCCCAGACCCACGUAGCACUGGCCAACGCCCGCGAGGGUUCGCCGGAAAACACGGAAAUUGCCCGCGCUUUCCCCCUCCCACGGAGCUAGCUGGGACAAAGGGGGGACAAGAGAGCACCAAGGCAGCCAUGUGUAAGAGAUGGUCUGAAGUUCCCCUCAUUUUUGCCUCAUGAUCAUCGCAAUGGCAGAGACUAAGAUCCUGAAGACCCCAAUUUGAAUUGUGGCCUGGUUGAGGUGGAUGCUCGCCAAGUCGUUGUUUGCAGGGCAGAAAGACAGCGACUUUCUACAAUCUCGUAAUUAUCAAUACCCACAGAUUCCGACAUUGCCACACUACGCUGCUUCAAGCAGGGCCUGGAAAGGAGCGGCUUGCUCUGUAUGCUUACACCUGCUUCACAACACCCACUUAUCACAAUAACCCAUGAAUUUUCCCACCUUUUGGCCAAAUGAACUUUCUGGGGUAAUUUUGGUGAUCUCUCACUGAAGAUCCCUCAACUUCCUCAUGACCACCGUGACGGACGGAAAUUGAAGCUCCCUCCCAAGUACUGAGACUGAGACCCCUAUAAUCCAAACACAGGCGUGCUGACCUGACUGAAGCAGGAUGUUUGUCAAGUGUUGCCUGCAGAUGUGUUCGCUGAACCAAGAAAACAAUUAGUCUCGCUCACUGAUGAAAUUUACUUGCCCUGCUUCGGAACAUGGACUCUUUCUACCCGUUUUUCAAUAGACUCAUUUCUCAAUUGUCUUUUACCUGUUCCCCUCCUCGGUGGAGGACAAUAAACAUCCCUAAGUUAACCAGGACUUCAGUGAACCCCCACGGAACAAUGACGGAUCUAUUGGUUGGACCAUGAGGAUUUAAUCUCUCUGUUGGUAGCUAUAUUCCCCUUCCCCUCUUUCACUCUCUCUCUAUCCUUUAUCUCCUUACUAAUCAUUCUAUGGCAUUGGCUGUGGGCACUCAAUAAAAGGUGCAUUUGUUGUGAUUAA